RNAcentral lists this ribosomal RNA (497 nucleotides) under uncultured bacterium. RNAcentral describes it as "partial 16S ribosomal RNA". It matches the Rfam family "Bacterial small subunit ribosomal RNA", at positions 28 to 507 of the family's 1533-position model. The record is from RNAcentral.
GAUGAGCGCUGGCGGCGUGCCUAAUACAUGCAAGUCGAGCGAACGGACGAGAAGCUUUCUUCUCUGAUGUUAGCGGCGGACGGGUGAGUAACACGUGGAUAACCUACCUAUAAGACUGGGAUAACUUCGGGAAACCGGAGCUAAUACCGGAUGAUAUUUUGAACCGCAUGGUUCAAAAGUGAAAGACGGUCUUGCUGUCACUUAUAGAUGGAUCCGCGCUGCAUUAGCUAGUUGGUAAGGUAACGGCUUACCAAGGCAACGAUGCAUAGCCGACCUGAGAGGGUGAUCGGCCAAACUGGAACUGAGACACGGUCCAGACUCCUACGGGAGGCAGCAGUGGGGAAUCUUCCGCAAUGGGCGAAAGCCUGACGGAGCAACGCCGCGUGAGUGAUGAAGGUCUUCGGAUCGUAAAACUCUUUUAUUAGGGAAGAACAUAUGUGUGAGUAACUGUGCACAUCUUGACGGUACCUAAUCAGAAAGCCACGGCUAACUACGUG